UGGGGAAUAUUGCACAAUGGGCGAAAGCCUGAUGCAGCAACGCCGCGUGAGUGAUGAAGGUCUUCGGAUUGUAAAGCUCUGUCUUUUGGGACGAUAAUGACGGUACCAAAGGAGGAAGCCACGGCUAACUACGUGCCAGCAGCCGCGGUAAUACGUAGGUGGCGAGCGUUGUCCGGAUUUACUGGGCGUAAAGGGUGCGUAGGCGGAUGUUUAAGUGAGAUGUGAAAUACCCGGGCUUAACUUGGGUGCUGCAUUUCAAACUGGAUAUCUAGAGUGCAGGAGAGGAGAAUGGAAUUCCUAGUGUAGCGGUGAAAUGCGUAGAGAUUAGGAAGAACACCAGUGGCGAAGGCGAUUCUCUGGACUGUAACUGACGCUGAGGCACGAAAGCGUGGGUAGCAAACAGGAUUAGAUACCCUGGUAGUCCACGCCGUAAACGAUGAGUACUAGGUGUAGGAGGUAUCGACCCCUUCUGUGCCGCAGUAAACACAUUAAGUACUCCGCCUGGGAAGUACGAUCGCAAGAUUAAAAC
This 529-nucleotide ribosomal RNA is filed under the name uncultured bacterium. Its description in RNAcentral is "partial 16S ribosomal RNA". It matches the Rfam family "Bacterial small subunit ribosomal RNA", at positions 355 to 900 of the family's 1533-position model. The record is from RNAcentral.